This 1244-nucleotide ribosomal RNA is filed under the name metagenome. Its description in RNAcentral is "bacterial LSU rRNA". It matches the Rfam family "Bacterial large subunit ribosomal RNA", at positions 1564 to 2817 of the family's 2925-position model. The record is from RNAcentral.
UGAGUACGAGAUGCUACGGCAUCGAAGCAGUCUAUGUCAUACUUCCAAGAAAAGCUUGCACUGUCAUAAACAAAGAAUGCCUGUACCAUAACCGACACAGGUGGGUAGGUAGAGUAUACUAAGGGGCGCGAGAUAACUCUCUCUAAGGAACUCGGCAAAAUGACUCCGUAACUUCGGGAGAAGGAGUGCCUUAUUUCUAAGGUUGCAAUAACAAGAUCCAAGCAACUGUUUACCAAAAACACAGGUCUCCGCUAAGUCGUAAGACGAUGUAUGGGGGCUGACGCCUGCCCAGUGCCAGAAGGUUAAAGAAGUUGGUUAGCAUUAGCGAAGCUGAUAACUGAAGCCCUGGUGAACGGCGGCCGUAACUAUAACGGUCCUAAGGUAGCGAAAUUCCUUGUCGGGUAAGUUCCGACCCGCACGAAAGGCGUAAUGAUUUGGAUACUGUCUCGGAGAGGGGCUCGGUGAAAUAGACUUGUCUGUGAAGAUGCGGACUACCUGCACCUGGACAGAAAGACCCUAUGAAGCUUUACUGUAACUUGAGAUUGAAAUUGGACUUUAUUUGCGCAGUAUAGGUGGGAGGCGUUGAGAAUAAUCUUGCGGGAUUGUUGGAGCCAUCAGUGAGAUACCACUCUUGUAAUGUUAGAUUUCUAACUUUGUAUCAUUAUCUGGUCAAAGAACAGUUUCAGGCGGGCAGUUUGACUGGGGCGGUCGCCUCCCAAAGGGUAACGGAGGCGCACAAAGGUUUCCUCUGAACGGGUAGAAAUCGUAUCUAGAGUGUAAAGGCAUAAGGAAGCUUGACUGUGAGACCUACAAGUCGAGCAGGGACGAAAGUCGGUCUUAGUGAUCUGACGGUGCUGAGUGGAAAGGCCGUCACUCAACGGAUAAAAGUUACUCUAAGGAUAACAGGCUGAUCUCCCCCAAGAGUUCACAUCGACGGGGAGGUUUGGCACCUCGAUGUCGGCUCAUCGCAUCCUGGGGCGGUAGUCCGUCCCAAGGGUUGGGCUGUUCGCCCAUGAAAGCGGUACGCGAGCUGGGUUCAGAACGUCGUGAGACAGUUCGGUCCAUAUCCGGUGUAGGCGUUAGAAUAUUGAGAGGAGCCUUCUCUAGUACGAGAGGACCGAGAAGGACAUACCUCUGGUGUACCAGUUAUCGUGCCAACGGUAAACGCUGGGUAGCUAUGUAUGGAGUGGGUAACCGCUGAAAGCAUCUAAGUGGGAAGCCCACCUCAAGAUAAGUAUUCUCAU